Molecule: unclassified non-coding RNA, 344 nt
Filed under: Hevea brasiliensis (rubber tree)
Lineage: Eukaryota; Viridiplantae; Streptophyta; Magnoliopsida; Malpighiales; Euphorbiaceae
Source: RNAcentral
GAAAGAGGGGAUGGAGGGCCUGGAAUAAGUCGUGAGGAGAGAGAUUUGAGGUGCAUAAAUGUUGGAAACAGGAGUAUCAGAGGUAGGCAGUUGGUUAGGUAGGCGUCCACUGAUGUUUUGGCCUUCCUGGUGUGUCAAUACUGGAUGAUAGAGUUGGGAACACAAAGGAAAAGAAUAGGUUCAAUAAGAGAGAAAGAGAGUGUAGAUUUCACUGCAAAAUAAGAUCUGAAUUACAAUGCAUACUCUCAGCAAUACAAUAGCAAAUUCCUUCCUCUCAAGACAGAACAUAAAGAGAAAAUAAAGAAAUGAGAAUCUCAGAGUAGCUCAAGCUAGCCCAGCUAAUG